Non-coding RNA from Phrynosoma platyrhinos (Desert horned lizard), 74 nucleotides. Lineage: Eukaryota; Metazoa; Chordata; Lepidosauria; Squamata; Phrynosomatidae. The record is from the annotation of a GenBank genome assembly.
GCCUGCGUAGAGCAUAGUGGUUUGUCUGUUGGACUGUGACUCUGGAGACCAGGGUUCGAUUCCCAGCUCUGGUG